This 75-nucleotide transfer RNA is filed under the name Podarcis lilfordi (Lilford's wall lizard). RNAcentral's name for it is "tRNA.Lys". The stretch from base 8 to 65 matches the Rfam family "tRNA", at positions 8 to 63 of the family's 71-position model. From Rfam's summary of the family: Transfer RNA (tRNA) molecules are approximately 80 nucleotides in length. The record is from RNAcentral. Lineage: Eukaryota; Metazoa; Chordata; Lepidosauria; Squamata; Lacertidae.
UAUCAGAUAGCUCAGUAGGUAGAGCAUAAGCCUCUUAAUCUUAGGGUUGUGGGUUCAAGCCCCACGUUGGGUGAA